GACGAACGCUGGCGGCGUGCUUAACACAUGCAAGUCGAACGGAGCGGCGGACGGGUGAGUAAUGCCUAGGAAUCUGCCUGGUAGUGGGGGAUAACGUCCGGAAACGGGAGCUAAUACCGCAUACUAUCAGAUGAGCCUAGGGCGGAGUAGCUAGUUGGUGGGGUAAAGGCCUACCAAGGCGCCGAUCGGUAACUGGUCUGAGAGGAGGAUCAGUCACACGGGAACUGGGACACGGUCCAGACUCCUACGGGAGGCAGCAGUGGGGAAUAGUGGACAAUGGGCGAAAGCCGGAUCCAGCCAUGCCGCGUGGGUGAAGAAGGUCUUCGGAUUGUAAAGCACUUUAAGUUGGGAGGCGUUACCAGCAGAAUAAGCGCCGGCUAACUACGUGCCAGCCGCCGCGGUAAUUC
This 407-nucleotide ribosomal RNA is filed under the name uncultured bacterium. RNAcentral describes it as "partial 16S ribosomal RNA". It matches the Rfam family "Bacterial small subunit ribosomal RNA", at positions 28 to 526 of the family's 1533-position model. The record is from RNAcentral.